CAGGUGUGUAUAAGAGACAGGUGAGUCAUCGAAUCUUUGAACGCACAUUGCGCCCCGUGGUAUUCCGCGGGGCAUGCCUGUUCGAGCGUCAUUUCAACCCAUCAAGCUUCGGCUUGGUCUUGGGGCCUGCGGUUUCGCAGCCUCUAAACCCAGUGGCGGUGCUAUUGAGCUCUGAGCGUAGUAAUUUCUCUCGCUAUAGAGUCUCGGUGGUGACUUGCCAACAACCCCCAAUUUUUAUCAGGUUGACCUCGGAUCAGGUAGGGAUACCCGCUGAACUUAAGCAUAUCAAUAAGCGGAGGA
RNAcentral lists this unclassified non-coding RNA (300 nucleotides) under uncultured Gyoerffyella. RNAcentral describes it as "sequence contains 5.8S rRNA gene, ITS2". The stretch from base 1 to 91 matches the Rfam family "5.8S ribosomal RNA", at positions 62 to 154 of the family's 154-position model. Lineage: Eukaryota; Fungi; Ascomycota. The record is from RNAcentral.